This 492-nucleotide ribosomal RNA is filed under the name uncultured bacterium. RNAcentral's name for it is "partial 16S ribosomal RNA". It matches the Rfam family "Bacterial small subunit ribosomal RNA", at positions 29 to 507 of the family's 1533-position model. The record is from RNAcentral.
AGUGAACGCUGGCGGUAGGCCUAACACAUGCAGGUCGAACGGCAGCACAGUAAGAGCUUGCUCUUACGGGUGGCGAGUGGCGGACGGGUGAGGAAUACAUCGGAAUCUACUUUUUCGUGGGGGAUAACGUAGGGAAACUUACGCUAAUACCGCAUACGACCUACGGGUGGAAGCAGGGGAUCUUCGGACCUUGCGCGAUUGAAUGAGCCGAUGUCGGAUUAGCUAGUUGGCGGGGUAAAGGCCCACCAAGGCGACGAUCCGUAGCUGGUCUGAGAGGAUGAUCAGCCACACUGGAACUGAGACACGGUCCAGACUCCUACGGGAGGCAGCAGUGGGGAAUAUUGGACAAUGGGCGCAAGCCUGAUCCAGCCAUACCGCGUGGGUGAAGAAGGCCUUCGGGUUGUAAAGCCCUUUUGUUGGGAAAGAAAAGCAGCAGGUUAAUACCCCGCUGUUCUGACGGUACCCAAAGAAUAAGCACCGGCUAACUUCGUG